CCCACAGCACUUGCUGGGGGAAAUCAGCAAAGUGGCUAUUAAACCAAAAGGAAAAGCAGAAACGCACACAUGGGGAAGUCGAGAGAGGUCUCACAAAGGAAGAAAACCAACUGAAGAAAGCCCCCCCGGGCACCCAGGGAGUCAGCCAGCAGCUCUCACGCUCUGGAGGCCGGUCCCCCCCACCCCCACCCACCGUCAGCUUUGUCAGAGCCCUUUCCACCUUCCUCAGAGGCCCUGUGAGAAGACGAAGGGGUGACGGCAAGAGGGCAGCCCGGCAGCCAGCUGCCUGGGAGAGCGUCUGGGCGUCCAGAGCCAGGGUGCUGAGCAGGAAGUGCCGUGGCCCCUCCAGGCCACCCUCUAGGAAGGGGACGCAGCCCGCUGUUCCCCAGAACUGCUCUGAGCACCGCUGACUCUCCAUUUUGUGCCACAGCUUGCUCCAGACAGUCAUCUUUUAACACAGACACAGAGAAGACACAGAAGAGAUGGCCACAUGAAGACAGAGUUGGGAGGGAUGCAGCGACAAGCCAAGAACUGCAAGGAGUGCCAGCAACCACCAGAAUCUGGAAGCAGCAGGGAAGGAUUCUCCCCUAGAGACUUCGGAGAGAGUGUGGCCCUGUCAACACCUUGAUUUUGGAUUUCCGGCCUCCAGAACUGGGAAAGAAGUGUAUCAAGUGCCAUCAAGGUGGCAGCUGGGCAUUAAGGCCAGAGGGCCCCGAAGAGAGGCUGGACUUGUGCUGUCUUGAUGCAUCCAGUAUGAGGACUUGAGCUGCAGGCAGCCCCCCCACCGUGCACGUGGAGGCCAGGGGCACGGCUGAUCUCCACCCAGCAGAUGUGGAUGUUCAAGCCCCAGGAGGCCAAGCUACCCGCCUGAGAUGACAGCAUGUGACAGUGCCUGAGUCAGAACCAAGGCAUCAGACUUCAGAAGCUGAGCCCUUAUCUAGGCCAAGUUCAGCCAGAGAAAGAAUAAAUAAGGGGCUCUGACCACUGUGGGGUGGGGCUGCCCAUCCAUGGUGCCCACUGAGGGCCACACGGGUGCCAGAUAGCCUACUGAGGGUUAGAGCCACCAUGGCCCAGGACCUGACAGCCAUCGCUGGGUGGGACUAAAGCCCGCAGCAGUGUGAUGGUCACACAGGACCAGCCCCAGGUACCAGAUGGCAGUUAAGAAAAGUGUGCCACAACCUGGUUCUGCCCUCUUUGCCUGAGGGAGCUCCUGCUACCAGCUCCUGGUGGAGGAACUCAAUUUCUGGAGACCAGAUGCACAAUGCAAGACCCAUUCAAUCCAUCCACUACCCACCCACCCAUCCAAUCAACAUUGUGCUGAAUACCUACUGCGGCCAGGCAUUUCCACAUUCGUUAACUCACUGAAUAAUCACAAGACACUGUUUGGUAGCAGGUAUUAGCCCCAUUUUCCAGAUAUGAAAGCUGAAGUACAGAGAUAAAGGGCUUUGCUUGGGGCCCAUGGCCAGCUUGUGAAGGAACAAGACUUGGCCUGGGGAUGGGUGGGUCUCUUGGGUGUGUCUGCCCUCCUGGGACACCAAUGCAAUGAAGCCCUCCCAGGUUGGGGUUUCUCCAGGGUGGAGGAUCCCUCCUUACACUGAGGCCACAGGCCCCCAAGGCUUUUCAGGUGACACUUGCUGGAUCUUUUGCCUCUAAGGACCUGACCCAGACCCCUCUUGCCUCCUCAGGGAGUCCUCUUUUCCCUUGGGACUCUGUGAUAACCUCCACACACCUGUGUCUCCUCGGAAUUCUCCCUGGGUCAGGCUCCAGGACACUUGCUGUCCACUUUUCUGUCCCUUGACAGAUGACAGUCCCAUCUGGGACACGGUGAUUCAGAGAAGACCCAAAGCAAGAAGAACUGCAAGGCAAGUGACUGACAGGUCUCCUCCCCUCCCUGGGCCUCAUUUCCCAAUUGGUGAGGGGCUGGAUGAGGUCAUUUCAGGGACGCUCUCGCUUCCACAAGACGCUAAGAAUGCCCUGACCAGUGCUUUCAUACUCUCCUUUCGGCCGGGUAGAGGGAGGACAGCACACUGUCGUCCCGUUCCCAGGGGCACAGCAGCCUCUAGCCUGCCCUCUGGGGGAAGCUGUGCACUGUUCAGUCAGAUCUGGAACCACAGCAGGAGACCCGGGUUUGGGGAGGGGGGAGGGUCUGGUAACACUGUCCUGGGGGCUUUCACGGAGUUACAUGGAAAAUUCCCAUUGAAAUCCAAGGGCCGAUGUUUGAAUUCCUAAAUGAGGGUUCCUGGCCCUUUACAUGCUUCUUCAGCCACCGACCAGCAGAAAUAUCCAGACAGGUGCAGCCCACACCUGGGCCAAGCGUCUCAGGAUAUCUCAACAGGCCUCAUUCGGCCAGGCCGGGGUCAGGGAGGGAGGGCAUAGGUGUAGGAGGCAGAAGGCCCAGGUUGGGGUGGGGGGCUUGCAUAGGCCACUUGGCUUCUCCACGUUUCGGUGUCCUCAUCUGUAGGAUGGUGAUGGUGGCACCACCCAGCAGGGCUGCAGAGCCACUGUGUACCCAGAAGCACAGCACUGCGCCCACAGCACAGUCCCAUCCUGCUCCUGCUACUCCUUCAUCAGGGGCCUCAGGUCCGCUUCAUCACCUCCACUUCCCUGGUCCUCAGUCUCCCCAUCUGUAAAUGGGAUCCAGCUCAGACAUCAGCAGGGCUACGAAGAGGCCUGUCUGAGCGUGGAGCGCCCGGCACAACCGUCCCCUGGAGGGGCUGCCUGCCAAGUACCAGCUGCCAAAGGAGCUCUGGGUCACCCUGCCUGCUUCCUGGGUCAGCCUCCCAUGGUGGGGGACACACCCCGAAGGGAGAAUUCAGAGCUUCUGUGGAUGGCAGACAAGUUGAGCAAAAGGUAUCCUCCCAGCCCAGACCCGGAGGGACCAGCCCAAGCCAGGCCUUCAAAGAGAGGCAGCUGUCCCGGGUUUGAGGUGAUGCCAAGAAGUGUAACCCAAGGCAGGCAGCUCCUGACAAACUCAGCUCACACGUGCCCCGGCUCCCUGCAGGCAGCACCCUCCUGGGGCAGGUGCCGGUUCUUCCUGCAUCUUCCACAGGAGGCUGGAGCCCAGGAAAAGCUCAGAGGGACUGAAUUAUCCAUACCCUCGGAACCGAUCAGAAGCUGCUCUGAGGUGGCAGUCACAUUCGGACGACAGGUGGCUGCAGGGGCACCCCUUUCCUCGUGGGCUCCCUGAGUCACGGCUAGAAAUAGGUUCCACUAAGGCACGGUCCAGCUUUCUUCUCUUCCAGGUCCUGCUAGUGCAAGGUCAACCACGGAGAGGCUGUGGGGAGUUCUGAAGACCCCAGUCCCACCUCUCCUCCCCAGGCCCCUGCAGAGGACAGGCCUCGGUUAAAGACCACACCUGGAAGGCUCCCACUGGUGUGGCUGCACAGCAAGAGGGAACUGGGGGCUUAUCCGCAUCCUGUCGGGCACGCCACUCCGUGACACUUCAUGCUAGCUGACGGCCGUGACAGAAUGAAUGGAUGGGUGACGCCAUCAGUGAAUGAAUGAGGUUUAAGAAGUUUGCUAUCAGGAACCCCGAUCACUGCCUGGAUAGUCACGGAGCCAGCACAAAGCAGAAGAAAACAUGGCUCCCGCUCUCAAAAAGUGAGUUCUCUGUCACCAGAUGUCUGGCAGAGUGAAGGCAGGGCUGCAGGACUCACGUUCUCUAAAGCAGUGGCUCCCAGAGUGCUCUGUGGGACACCAAGAGACACCACAGAGGAAAAAGUCCCAGGGACCAACAAGAAUGUGAAAUGCUACAUGGUGUUUCCCACUCAUGCCCACAGAGUCCUGCUUAACACCGGUACUGCCCAGCUGUCUGGCCACAGAACUCCUCUGAAGGGAGCACGGAGUUCUGAAGAACAUGGGUCGGGAAGUGCUGGUGUCAUGGAUUUAGAAUAGGCUGUGCCAGGAAAGUCACACUGCAAUGGCCUCCCUGGGUCACGCGGGGUCCUGGAGAUGGCAGAGCCUCCCUGGGCAGGACACACUCAGCAGGGCCCUGCCACCCUCCCUGGGGUUGACUCUAGUGCUCUGCUUCCUUGUGCCUCAGUUUCUCCUCUGAAGACGUAACGACCCCAGCUUCUCCCAGCCUGUCAGGGUUGUCAGGGGUGAGGACACAGGAUGACAGUGAACAGAUACCAGGGGCCAUGGGGAGAUGUACAGACAAGAGGCCUUCGCUGUGACUCAGGUUUGGUGGGCAUUCACGGGGCUAACAGCCGGAGACUGCUAACGAGGGUGCAGAUGACAGCCUUCCGGAACCACAUGCCCCGGCUCCAUGUAACCAUUCUUGGAAAGAGACGGCUCGGCUUCCUGUAAAUUGCCGAGCACAGCCGCGUUCUGGGGGGCACAGGUGACCCAACAGAGACGCACAAUACCAGGCAUGCUCGGAAGCCCAGGGAGAGUUGCUGGCCCAGGGUGGGAGGCAGAUCUCCCAGCGUCUCCUCCAAGUACUUAGAGAGUCCUUGGAAGGAACGGGGAGGACAGGGCGUGGGCGGUAUGCUGGAUUCCGAUCCUGGCUCUGUCCCUGGGGAGCUGUGGCCUUGGGCCAGUCACCUUUCCCACACUCUAUUCUCUAAAAUGGAGAUAAGAGCACCUAUGUCGGGGGCUGGAGGACUGACUGAGGCAGCGUGCAAAGUCCAGCACACUGAUGCCUGGCACACACUCUGGAAGGAGGAGCCCCCCAUGGAACAGACUAAGCCUCGCUCUUUCUUCGGAGACCUGCUGAUGGGACCCUGCCGGGUCCGGCCACUGUCCAGCACAUCUGUGCUCCCUCCCUCUGGGAGAGCUGCGAGCUACCAAGAGUCCGUUUGACUUGUUCCCAAACCUAUUUAUGCCAGCUACACUUGCUCUUGCGACUACCUAAUUUGAUUAUUCUUCACAUAAACUUUUUAAGUAUGAGUGUGAAAAGGAAAAGAAAAAGACUUGCAUUCAUGAAGUCCUUUCUGGAACUUGCUGAGCUGCCCUGGGCUGCUGACCACCCCCACCCCCUGCCCCAAUCCCUGCCACUGCCCCCUGGCCGGCACCCAUUCAUAGGCUCCUGCCUCUGAUGAGCCAAGACUGCCUUCCUUGGAGGCCAAAGCUGGUGAGAUGCUCCCACACUGAGAUGGGUCCCUGGCUCUGUCCAGGUACUCUCAGAGCAGGCAGAGCACCGCUGGGGGCAGGUGGUACCUGAAC
Panthera uncia (snow leopard) is the source of this 5166-nucleotide long non-coding RNA. RefSeq lists it as uncharacterized. Lineage: Eukaryota; Metazoa; Chordata; Mammalia; Carnivora; Felidae. The transcript has 4 exons. The record is from RefSeq and is a predicted model, not a curated record.